ACCUGACUGCUAUCGGAUUGAUACUAAGCCAUGCGAGUCAUUGUAGUAAUACAAGGCAGACGGCUCAGUAACGCGUAGUCAACCUAACCUAUGGACGGGAAUAACCUCGGGAAACUGAGUAUAAUGCCCGAUAGAACAUUAUGCCUGGAAUGGUUUAUGUUCCAAAUGAUUUAUCGCCGUAGGAUGGGACUGCGGCCUAUCAGUUUGUUGGUGAGGUAAUGGCCCACCAAGACUAUUACAGGUACGGGCUCUGAGAGGAGUGGCCCGGAGAUGGGUACUGAGACACGGACCCAGGCCCUAUGGGGCGCAGCAGGCGAGAAAACUUUGCAAUGUGCGAAAGCACGACAAGGUUAAUCCGAGUGGUUUCUGCUAAAGGAACCUUUUGUCGGUCCUAGAAACACCGAUGAAUAAGGGGUGGGCAAGUUCUGGUGUCAGCCGCCGCGGUAAAACCAGCACCUCAAGUGGUCAGGAUGAUUAUUGGGCCUAAAGCAUCCGUAGCCGGCUCUGUAAGUUUUCGGUUAAAUCUGUACGCUUAACGUACAGGCUGCCGGGAAUACUGCAGAGCUAGGGAGUGGGAGAGGUAGACGGUACUCGGUAGGAAGGGGUAAAAUCCUUUGAUCUAUUGAUGACCACCUGUGGCGAAGGCGGUCUACCAGAACACGUCCGACGGUGAGGGAUGAAAGCUGGGGGAGCAAACCGGAUUAGAUACCCGGGUAGUCCCAGCUGUAAACUAUGCAAACUCAGUGAUGCAUUGGCUUGUGGCCAAUGCAGUGCUGCAGGGAAGCCGUUAAGUUUGCCGCCUGGGAAGUACGUACGCAAGUAUGAAACUUAAAGGAAUUGGCGGGGGAGCACCACAAGGGGUGAAGCCUGCGGUUC
Molecule: ribosomal RNA, 876 nt
Filed under: uncultured Nitrososphaerota archaeon
Lineage: Archaea; Thermoproteati; Nitrososphaerota
Description: bacterial SSU rRNA
Rfam family: Archaeal small subunit ribosomal RNA
Source: RNAcentral